This is an RNA transcript of Arachis stenosperma, 2019 nucleotides long. It is a transcript of the gene named agmatine deiminase-like, with no coding region annotated. The record is from RefSeq and is a predicted model, not a curated record. The transcript has 11 exons. NCBI's taxonomy places the organism in Eukaryota, Viridiplantae, Streptophyta, Magnoliopsida, Fabales, Fabaceae.
CACCCAGCGCAUAACACCUCCCCCCACCCUACCCUCACCCAGCAGAAAACCCUAAUCCUCUUUGAAUUCGAAGAACCUCUCUUUGAAUUCGAAGAACAGCCACCACCCAUAAUCCUCUCUUCUCCUUGAAGAAUAGCCACUACCCACCAUUCCACUUCAGAGCUAAAAUUCAUCGCCGCUUCUCUGCUAAUCCAGGAAGCCUGCCCCCAAGCCUAGCCUCCACCACCACCUUGUGCCUCUAUUGCCGCCGCGCCGUCCGUCGCACCGACCCCUGUUCGGUCUCAGACUCACCAGUCGCAGGCACGCUGUUUCUUCCUCGAGCGUCCGUCGUCUUCCUCUUCCCCUGGAGCUGCUGCAUGCCUGCAUACGAAGGAGGGACCUGAAUCGAAACCGACGCCGGACCUAGGGCCACUCACCGUCGCGGGUCACUCAUCGUCGUGGGUCACUCACCGUCGCGGGUAAGACGUUGUCUCAGUCUUUGACACAGAAAAAAAUCACAAGAGGAUAGUGUGAAGGCAGAUUGUUAUGAUGGAUCUACAAGGCUUGCCUGCGAGUCAUGGAUUCCACAUGCCUGCGGAGUGGGAACCUCACACUCAAUGUUGGAUGGGUUGGCCUGAACGCCCAGAUAACUGGAGAGAGAAUGCUGUUCCUGCUCAAGAUGUGUUUGCCAAGGUAGCAUCUGCAAUCUCAAGAUUUGAGGAUGUAACUGUUUGUGCUAGUUCUGGCCAGUGGGAGAAUGCCAGGAGAAUGCUACCUGAACAUAUCAGGGUCCUUGAGAUCAGCAUGAAUGAUUCUUGGUUUCGUGACACUGGACCAACUUUUGUUGUGAAAAGAUCAGAGUCUGGUAAGGCAGAGCAAACUAUUGCAGGAAUUGACUGGAAUUUUAAUAGCUGGGGAGGGUUAGAAGAUGGAUGUUAUACUGAUUGGAGUUUGGACAUCCUUGUUGCUAGGAAGAUUUUGGCAGUUGAGAGGGUUCAUAGAUUUUCACAUUCAAUGAUACUUGAAGGUGGAAGCAUACAUGUUGAUGGAGAAGGUACUUGCCUUACCACUGAAGAGUGUCUCUUGAACAAGAACAGAAAUCCUCAUAUGAGUAAGAACCAAAUAGAGGAUCAACUUAAGACAUAUCUUGGAGUCAGCAAGACUAUAUGGUUGUCCCGUGGAUUGUAUGGAGAUGAUGAUACUAAUGGCCAUAUUGAUAACAUGUGCUGUUUCACUAGGCCUGGUGUGGUUUUGCUGUCUUGGACUGAUGAUGAAAGUGAUCCUCAAUAUGAAAGAUCUAUGGAAGCAUAUUCUCUGCUUUCUAAUGAAACUGAUGCCAAUGGUAGAAAAUUUGAAAUCAUUAAACUCCAUGUUCCUGGGCCACUAUAUAUGACAGAGAAAGAGGCAGCUGGAGUAGUGCAGGUUAUAGCAUCCAAGUUCAUAUUUCUUGUCUUGUCAAUAAAAAAUAUAAUUUCUUCAAAGUUGGAUGUUAUAAAAGAAAGGGUGAUGAUGGUAAGGCAAGACUUCCAGGUAUUAGGCUUGCUGCUUCCUAUGUGAACUUUUACAUUGCAAAUGGAGGUAUCAUUGUACCACAAUUUGGAGAUAAGAAGUGGGACGAUGAAGCUGUUCGAGUCCUAUCAAAGGCCUUCCCAGAUCACAAAGUUGUUGGAAUCGAAGGUUCAAGGGAGAUUGUUUUAGCUGGUGGAAAUAUACACUGCAUUACUCAGCAACAACCAGCCUUUUGAGCAAAGUACUGUCAACAUUUGUUCACGAGUGUUGUAUUUGCAUUGAAAUUUGUAGUCUCUGGAUCAUUGAUUAAACUGCUUGGUUCAUUCCAUUAAUCUUCAAAUGAUUGAUCCACAUAGAGGCACAAAAGUGUGUUCAAGUGCAUUGAAAUAAAAUGUAAACUGGCAUUUUUCAAGUUGGAAAAUCUAAAUGAAUGAAUAAAUUAGAGAUUUCUAGUUUUUACUUUGUAAAAGUACUUGAAUGCUUCCAACUAUGAUCUACCAUGUAUCUAUGAAAUUUUUCUUCAUUUUUCAA